UGACUGUAGGUGAAAGCUUACAUCUCUUCGGAGCAGUUUUACGAGGUGCUGCAUGGUUGUCGUCAGCUCGUGCCGUGAGGUGUCGGGUUAAGUCCCAUAACGAGCGCAACCCUACCUUUAGUUGCCGUCAGGUUAAGCUGGGGACUCUAAAGGAACUGCCUACGCAAGUAGUGAGGAAGGCGGGGAUGACGUCAAAUCAGCACGGCCCUUACGUCCAGGGCUACACACGUGCUACAAUGGCCGAUACAGAGGGCAGCUACCUGGUGACAGGAUGCAAAUCUCCAAAGUCGGUCUCAGUUCGGAUCGGAGUCUGCAACCCGACUCCGUGAAGUUGGAUUCACUAGUAAUCGCGCAUCAGCCAUGGCGCGGUGAAUACGUUCCCGGGCCUU
Molecule: ribosomal RNA, 389 nt
Filed under: uncultured Sphingobacteriales bacterium
Lineage: Bacteria; Pseudomonadati; Bacteroidota; Sphingobacteriia; Sphingobacteriales
Description: bacterial SSU rRNA
Rfam family: Bacterial small subunit ribosomal RNA
Source: RNAcentral